Non-coding RNA from Gasterosteus aculeatus aculeatus (three-spined stickleback), 551 nucleotides. The record is from RefSeq and is a predicted model, not a curated record. Lineage: Eukaryota; Metazoa; Chordata; Actinopteri; Perciformes; Gasterosteidae.
ACGCUCACAUCAGCAGCACUUUCAGAUGUUCUAAACGAGUCUGCAGUCAGGAGGGAGGAGAGCGAUCAGAGGUCACGACCUCUGGGGCUUCUCUCCAGGUCUACCUGUUGAAAACGUGAUCAUCUGUAUCCAUAGCAACCAGGUUCACAGGACCCACGACUUGAUUCAUGCUGAACAACUUUGCUACCAAAGUACUGAUCCUCCCCCUCACCCUGGCUGGGUGAUUGCUGUUUGCGUUCUCGUUGUCGUUCUCGUCAUAGUUGUGGUUCUAAUCGUCUGGCUUUGUAUUGAUCGAAGGAGAUUAAUCUGUAAGUCCAAGUAAACGUUCCAACAAAUAAUCUCAACAUCUGUAAAAUCCUCUUUGUUUCCUCUACAUAGAAACUCAAUGUCUCCAAGUCCUCCAUAACUAUGUACCCACCUGUUUGGUUAAAUAGCCCAAUAUCACAAAUCACAGUUUGCCUCCGAGCGCUGAACAAUCUGUACAACACAGGACGUCUUUUACUGCAUCAGAUAAGGAAACACGUCUGUUAAAAUAUACAUGUGAUAUUUUA